AUUGAACGCUGGCGGCACGCCUAACACAUGCAAGUCGAACGGUAGCACAGAGAGCUUGCUCUCGGGUGACGAGUGGCGGACGGGUGAGUAAUGUCUGGGAAACUGCCCGAUGGAGGGGGAUAACUACUGGAAACGGUAGCUAAUACCGCAUAACGUCGCAAGACCAAAGUGGGGGACCUUCGGGCCUCACACCAUCGGAUGUGCCCAGAUGGGAUUAGCUAGUAGGUGGGGUAAUGGCUCACCUAGGCGACGAUCCCUAGCUGGUCUGAGAGGAUGACCAGCCACACUGGAACUGAGACACGGUCCAGACUCCUACGGGAGGCAGCAGUGGGGAAUAUUGCACAAUGGGCGCAAGCCUGAUGCAGCCAUGCCGCGUGUAUGAAGAAGGCCUUCGGGUUGUAAAGUACUUUCAGCGGGGAGGAAGGCGGUGAAGUUAAUAGCUUCACCGAUUGACGUUACCCGCAGAAGAAGCACCGGCUAACUCCGUGCCAGCCGCCGCCGUAA
Molecule: ribosomal RNA, 504 nt
Filed under: uncultured bacterium
Lineage: Bacteria
Description: partial 16S ribosomal RNA
Rfam family: Bacterial small subunit ribosomal RNA
Source: RNAcentral